RNAcentral lists this long non-coding RNA (1032 nucleotides) under Brassica rapa (field mustard). Its description in RNAcentral is "long non-coding RNA (BRAP_LNC006399)". Lineage: Eukaryota; Viridiplantae; Streptophyta; Magnoliopsida; Brassicales; Brassicaceae. The record is from RNAcentral.
CCAAGCUGAAUUGAAAAUUAUAAAACUAAAGAAUUAAAUUCGUAGAUAUGUUAUGGGUGCGAUUCGAUUUCAAACAAUUAUUGCAUGUUGGCCAAUUGGUCCUAGGCUUCGGUUUGGUUGUUUGACAUGGCGGAUAUUAUAUCUAAAGAACUUGUCCAUCAGAUUAGUCAGACUUUUUUUUUUUUUUUUUUUGUGAAACAGAUUAGUCAGACUUGUUUGGGUUAUUAACCUCUAACCUUGAUUUGGAUCAUUGAUACUAUAAAAGUGCUAGUCCACUAUAUAAGAAGCUACGAGUUUCCACAAUGUAUAAUAACUGUAGAAAACUAAAUGCUGUUUAUAGUAAUAGUCCAACAAAAGGCCCCGAAUAUCAUAAUGUAAGUCGUAAAACAAACAGUUAAGUCUUAAAUUCAUUUACUAUAAAGUCAAAAACAAAUUCAAAAGGCGUAGUUUCUACGCUCGUUUCUUUCUUUUUAGCAUGGGAACCUGAUCAGUCAUCAACAUGAAAUCGACAAUUGGUAUACAUAUUCGUUUUUUUUUAAUUCUUUAUCUCUAUUUUUCCUCAUUUGUCAACUUCUAAGGUGCAUCAUUUAUCGUGCAACAUAUCAAACAUUUGAUGAGACGGAUUCGCUUGCAAUCUGGUAGUGUUAAUUUUUUCCGACAUCAAUCUGGUAUUGUUAGCCAGCUGAUUUUGGAUUUAAAUAAAGUAUACAUAAUAGACUUAUGUAGAUUAAGAUAUAAGUUUUGAACCCACAUAGAAGAUACACAGAUUACAAGUUUGUAGUUGCACAAAAGAAAAGAUUACAAGUUUGUCAGCAAAUUGUGACAUCAAACAAAAACGCGAAGGGCCUGCUUUUUGUAAAGCAACCUAUAAUUUCCCACUAGAAUAUCAUGUUCUCUGGUGUGCAGGAGGUACUUUUUUCUUUUCAGUUUCAAAUUUUCUUCUUCUUUUUAUUCCAAAUUGUAAUAAUGAUUCUUGUUUCACUAUAUAAGUGAUUUUUGUAUCUAAUUGUGCACACAUUGUUCUCUUUCAAA